GCGCAACAACUUCCACCUGGCUUACCUUUUCAGUCUUGUGUCAUUGCUUGUAUCGCAUUGAAUGCAUGGUGGGUUUCUUGUGUUGCAUGCCUAAUUGAUGGUAUCAUUUGAAGAAUUGAUGUCCCUUUUCAUCUUGUGUCGCACAUGCGAUGUGAGAUGAACCUUGAAGUAGACUUUGUGAUCCACUCUUUCGAUGUACACGCAUUGAUUUUGUGGCCCACUCUGUGUUGCUUGGUCUCAUGGAUAUGGAACCUGGUGUGGGCAUGGGAUCUUUACUAUUUCCUUGUUUGCCCUGGUUUAGCUUUUCUAAUACGAUUGUUUAUCACAUUUUAAUGUGGUAGGCUAUAUCGGAUAUGAAUGCUACCUGGUUGAUCCUGCC
RNAcentral lists this unclassified non-coding RNA (379 nucleotides) under Leontopodium jacotianum. RNAcentral's name for it is "partial contains external transcribed spacer and 18S ribosomal RNA". The record is from RNAcentral. RNAcentral also lists the same sequence under 2 other names. Lineage: Eukaryota; Viridiplantae; Streptophyta; Magnoliopsida; Asterales; Asteraceae.